RNAcentral lists this ribosomal RNA (2905 nucleotides) under Oramoeba fumarolia. Its description in RNAcentral is "18S ribosomal RNA". It matches the Rfam family "Eukaryotic small subunit ribosomal RNA". The record is from RNAcentral. Lineage: Eukaryota; Heterolobosea; Gruberellidae.
CUGGUUGAUCCUGCCAGUAGUAUAUGCUCAUCUCGAAGAUUAAGCCAUGCAUGUGUAAGAGCAAUCUGCUCACCCUUUCGGGGGUGAGUACUAUGGAUCUGCGAAUAGCUCCUUACAAGCGUCAUAAACAAGCUAACAAUGUUUUUAUAAGGAUAACGCUGCCAAAUGCAACGAUAAUACUUGAAUUAAGCGUUGGUGCGAAUCGAUGGAUUUGCUCACCAACGAUGUGCUCCCUUGUGGGGCAUGCCGACUAACGAAAAGUUAGCUAGAUAGAAGUGUCUCAUAUCUAUUAGCUGUGAUGGUGGGGCAAUGGCCCACCAUGGCUAUUAUGGAUACGGGGAAUCAGUGUUCGAUUCCGGAGAGGCAGCCUUAGAAACAGCUACCAUGUCCAAGGACAGCAGCAGGCGCGAAAAUUACUCAAUUCUAACUCAGAGAAGUAGUGAAAAGAAAUAAUGAUUUCCCACACAUGUGGGAAAGUACUCUUCGGAGUUUGAAAUGAUCGCACUGUAAAUAGGUGCGAGAGUAUCAAGUGGAGGGCAAGUCAGGUGCCAGCAGCCGCGGUAACUCCUGCUCCCAAGCAUAUACUAAUGUUGCUGUAGUUAAAACGUCCGUAGUCCAUGACAGUGCUUUAUCGCGGGGCUCGGAUAACCCUAACCUUCGCCGCCAGGUAUUUGCCUGGUGGCGGAGGGGUUGGGAGCAAUCCCAACCUGGGGUUAUCCCUUUGGCGCGCAAAUACCUCGCUUCGGCGAGGUAUGCGUGAGCCCCGUGAGAAAGUGCGAUACACAACUGUGAGUAAAUCAGCGUGCUCAAGGCAGGCUAUAGGAGGCUUUCGAGUCUCCUGGUGCUUGUAUGCUUUAGCAUGGGACUGUAUCCCAAUUGACUUGGGGCUUCGGCUCCAGGUCAGCACUGUGGAAAAGGGAAUGGACGGAGGACACAGGUAUUUUGGCACUAGGGGUGAAAUCCGAAUAAUGCCAAAAGACCAACAGACGCGAAAGCGGUGUCGUCCAUGGCAUUCCCAUUGAUCAAGGACGAGAGUCAGGGGAUCGAAGAUGAUUAGAUACCGUCGUAGUCCUGACUGUAAACGAUACUGCCGAGAGUUUGGGGAUAUGAAACUAUAACUGAUCUCCUCAGGAUCUAAGGGAAACCGAGAGGUUUCGAGUUCUGGGGGAAGUAUGGUCGCAAGGCUGAAACUUAAAGGAAUUGACGGAAAGGCACCACCAGGUGUGGAUGCUGCGGCUUAAUUCGACUCAACACGGGGAAACUCACGAAGGCAAGAUGUAGAAAGGAUUGACAAGCUAAAGACUUUUCUUGAUUCUACAAGUGGUGGUGCAUGGCCGUUCUUAGUUCGUGGAUUAAUCUGUCUGGUUAAUUCCGAUAACGAACGAGACCUUAACUGCUAAUUAGGCGGGCGAUUUUCGAAUCGUCCGAAUGUCCUUCGGGACUCCUGCUUAGCAGGACACUCUGCUCUCAAGCAGAGGGAAGUUUGAGGCAAUAACAGGUCACAGCCGCAAACAACAAUGAGAGAUCUCAAAACACUGUGCAGACUCACUGAAAAAGAUCAGUGGAUCGAAAAAGCGAAAGAGCGAUAUGAAGCUCUCGCAAAGCAUGCAAUACGAGAAAGAGUUGUUGAGGAAUCCGAGUGUUGGAUCCCCGCAACAAAGGAAGGACAAAGACGUCGUCCCAAAAAAGGAGACAAUUACAUCCAAAUACCCAUUAUCCAGCCAUCCGGACACCAAAAUCGGAUGAAAACCAAAGGAAUGCCAAGAAUAACCGUAUAUGCCCACCAGCUUGGCUGGUGGGCUGGAGUUGAGUACUCCAAAGUGCUCCUUUGCGCAUAUCGCGUAAUGAUUGAGCAAGGUCAAACAAUGAGCAUUUCUCACCUCUGCGGUAAUCCUCAAUGUUUCCGUCCGGAUCAUUUGACAGCCGAACCCAGGUGGGUCAAUGUCCGCAGACAAGAAUGUCUCGCGAUACGACGCCCUGGGGAAAACUGCGACUGUCAUUAUGGCAGGCAUGGGGCAGCGGAUGUAUACAAAAGAUGUCUCAAACGUAUUGUAAAUAUUUGAUCCCAGUUCUUUGUGAACUCUGCGCAGUGUUGCUCUGUAAUUUUUUGUUGCUCUGUAAUUUUUGCGGUCAGGCUUGAGCGGGCACGAAAGUGCUAUAUCCGCUAGUUCCGUGCGCAUCCUUUUGUGUGGACGGAGCGACACCAUCAAAUUGCGGGGACGCCCUAAAGCCUUUUGUUACCAAACAUGGGUCGAAAGACACCAUGUGGCCAGGUGUAAUGACCUGGGUAUGGUAAAAAGACAAAAGGAUGAAACAAUGGGCAAUCCGCAGCCAAGUCCUAAGGUGAUCCGGAUGCUAUUUUUCCGGGUUGCUAUGGAUGCAGUUCACAGACUAAAUGGUGGUGGGUGGGAGAUCCUCGCGAGCUCCUGCUUAAGAUAUAGUCGAGGCCACUGCGAAAGCAGUGCAAAUCACGGAGGAAGGUCUUGGCUCGAGCAGCAGCCAAACUGGAGAGCCGUGGUUGGGCAGUUUCAUUCUGUCGAUUUACCUGCUGUGAUGCCCUUAGAUGCUUUCGGCAGCACGCGUCAUACAAUGCUAGUAUAAACGAGUUUAUGGCCACAUUGGUGGCUGGCUGUCCUGAAGAGGUCGGCUAAACUUCAAAAUGCUAGCAUGACUGGGAUUGAUAAUUGUAAGUUUAUCAUGAACGAGGAAUACCUAGUAAUCGCAAAUCAUCAUUUUGCAAUGAUUACGUCCCUGCCUUUUGUACACACCGCCCGUCGCUCCUACCGAUGGGAGAAAGGAGUGAAGUGGAUGGAUGGUCUCCUUCGGGAGAUUGCAGAAUUCCCCUGAACUUCUUUCUCUGUAGGAAGGAGAAGUCGUAACAAGGUCUUCGUAGGUGAACCUGCAG